AGUGGGAUAAGCUAAACUUCACAAGCUGUUGGGCUCAUAACCCAAAAAUAGACACACCUUCCCAUUA
This 67-nucleotide transfer RNA is filed under the name Lens contradens. RNAcentral's name for it is "tRNA-Met". Lineage: Eukaryota; Metazoa; Mollusca; Bivalvia; Unionida; Unionidae. The record is from RNAcentral.